RNAcentral lists this ribosomal RNA (384 nucleotides) under Triticum aestivum (bread wheat). RNAcentral's name for it is "partial small subunit ribosomal RNA". The record is from RNAcentral. Lineage: Eukaryota; Viridiplantae; Streptophyta; Magnoliopsida; Poales; Poaceae.
AUGACGCGGCUGCCGCGGGAGGAGGUGGCUUCGAUCCUUUCCAGUCGGAUCCAUCCCGAUCGUGCCCCUUCUUUCUUCAAGGCACUGAAGCUCCAAAACCCCGACCUGAUUCCUUCUCCGGAAGAGGAGAUGGACAAGCUGAAGGUGAAGCGGUAUGCUAAUGCGCGCGGGUACUACGAGGCUGUAGAGGAAUUCAUCAAAUUUCAGGCCUGGGUAAGAAGUGAGUACGCCAAGAAUGGCUACGUCGAGAUCGAUGAGGACUACCUCGCUCACAGGUCCGAGAUCCAAGCAUGUAGCGACAGAGCACGGGAUGCUGCAUUCAGAGCAAUCGGCUUUUCUCAUGAAGCCGAAGAGCUCAAGAAUCAGUUUAGGAGGAGACAGUGA